GAAAAUCCGUUGGCUUUAUUGACCGUGAGGGUUCAANUCCC
This 41-nucleotide transfer RNA is filed under the name Tetrastichium fontanum. Its description in RNAcentral is "partial tRNA-Leu". Lineage: Eukaryota; Viridiplantae; Streptophyta; Bryopsida; Hookeriales; Leucomiaceae. The record is from RNAcentral.